Long non-coding RNA from Oreochromis niloticus (Nile tilapia), 306 nucleotides. RefSeq lists it as uncharacterized. The transcript is spliced from 3 exons. NCBI's taxonomy places the organism in Eukaryota, Metazoa, Chordata, Actinopteri, Cichliformes, Cichlidae. The record is from RefSeq and is a predicted model, not a curated record.
GCAUAUCUUCCCUUUGGCUUCACCUGCACAAGUGCCAAGGUGCUGCCUGUUCUUUUGGAGUGCCUGCAAUUGCAAGAAGCGCAGCUUGGAGCUGUGCGGCGCAGAUAAGGUGUCUUUGAAAGAGAACAAAGCGGAAAUGCAAUGGAGGCACAAAAUGAUCAUGGUAGGGGGCCGUGGGGCUGCUGCCCCAAUGAAGAGGCAGAAUAUGGAUCAAACUCUUAACACUGGUAAUGAAUCUGCACCUUUUGCACCUAAAUCCUACUCAACAUCCAGCAAUUUACAACGUACACACACACAAAAAAAAGC